Molecule: ribosomal RNA, 867 nt
Filed under: Comamonas sp. CESNVD 7
Lineage: Bacteria; Pseudomonadati; Pseudomonadota; Betaproteobacteria; Burkholderiales; Comamonadaceae
Description: bacterial SSU rRNA
Rfam family: Bacterial small subunit ribosomal RNA
Source: RNAcentral
GAGACGCUGGCCGGCUGGCUUCCUCCUUAAGUCGAACGGUUGCAGGUCUUCGGAUGCUGACUAGUGGCGAACGGGGGAGUAAUACAUCGGAACGUGCCUGGGGGUGGGGGAUAACUACUCGAAAGAGUAGCUAAUACCGCAUGAGAUCUACGGAUGAAAGCAGGGGACCUUCGGGCCUUGUGCUACCAGAGCGGCUGAUGGCAGAUUAGGUAGUUGGUGGGGUAAAGGCUUACCAAGCCUGCACUCUGUAGCUGGUCUGAGAGGACGACCAGCCACACUGGGACUGAGACACGGCCCAGACUCCUACGGGAGGCAGCAGUGGGGAAUAUUUGACAAUGGGCGAAAGCCUGAUCCACCAAUGCCGCGUGCGGGAUGAAAGCGCUCGGGUUGUAAACUGCUUUUGUACGGAACAAAAAGCGUGGGGCCAAUACCCCCUGGUCAUGUCGGUACCGUAAGAAUAAGCACCGGGUAUCUACGUGCCACCACCCGCGGUAAUACGUAGGGGGGCAAGCGUUAAUCUGAAAUAUCUGGGGCGUAAAACGUGCGCAUGCGGGUUUUCUAAAACAAUGGUGAAAUCCCCCGGGCUCAACUGGGAACAGCCCUUGCGAAAUGCAAGGCAUAAGUGCGGCAAAAGGGGAGGAAUUCUCCUUGGUGCCCGGAAAUCGUUAAUUUCGGAGAGAAACCCUUGGGGAAGCGAACCCCUGGGCCUGCACUGACACCUUUGACGGAAGACUGGGGGGACACCGGAUUAAAUCCCUGUGAUCCACCCUAACAAGUAACGGGUGUUUGGCUCCUGGACCUACGACCUCACCUGAAUAUGCCCCCGGGGAACGCGCCCGGGUAAAUCAAGAGUUUGCCGGCCGCCCC